Molecule: ribosomal RNA, 484 nt
Filed under: uncultured bacterium
Lineage: Bacteria
Description: partial 16S ribosomal RNA
Rfam family: Bacterial small subunit ribosomal RNA
Source: RNAcentral
AUUGAACGCUGGCGGCAGGCCUAACACAUGCAAGUCGAGCGGAUGAAGCGAGCUUGCUCCUGGAUUCAGCGGCGGACGGGUGAGUAAUGCCUAUGAAUCUGCCUGGUAUUGGGGGAUAACGUCCUGAAACGGGCGCUAAUACCGCAUACGUCCUGAGGGAGAAAGUGGGGGAUCUUCGGACCUCACGCUAUCAGAUGAGCCUAGGUCGGAUUAGCUAGUUGGUGGGGUAAAUGCCUACCGAGGCGACGAUCCGUAACUGGUCUGAGAGGAUGAUCAGUCACACUGGAAGUGAGACACGGUCCAGACUCCUACGGGAGGCAGCAGUGGGGAAUAUUGGACAAUGGGCGAAAGCCUGAUCCAGGCAUGCCGCGUGUGUGAAGAAGGUCUUCGGAUUGUAAAGCACUUUAAGUUGGGAGGAAGGGCAGUAAGUUAAUACCUUGCUGUUUUGACGUUACCAGCAGAAUAAGCACCGGCUAACUUCGUG